UACGUAGGCGGGAAAUUAAGUCAGUAGUGAAAUCCCACAGCUUAACUGUGGAACUGUUAUUGAUACUGGUUUUCUUGAAUAUAGUUGAGGUAGGCGGAAUGUGUAAUGUAGCGGUGAAAUGCUUAGAUAUUACACAGAACACCGAUUGCGAAGGCAGCUUACUAAGCUAUGAUUGACGCUGAGGUACGAAAGCGUGGGGAGCGAACAGGAUUAGAUACCUGGUAGUCC
Molecule: ribosomal RNA, 228 nt
Filed under: uncultured bacterium
Lineage: Bacteria
Description: partial 16S ribosomal RNA
Rfam family: Bacterial small subunit ribosomal RNA
Source: RNAcentral